UCAAGUUACUAAGGGUUAACGGCGGAUGCCUUGGCUGAUGGCUGCGAUGAAGGACGUGGUAAGCUGCGAAAAGUCUCGGGGAGUUGCACGCGAAUUUUGAUCCGAGAAUGUCCGAAUGGGGAAACCCACUUUAGUGAAAGCUAAAGUAUCUUGGUGCUGAAUACAUAGGCACCUUGAAGCGAACCUAGGGAAGUGAACCAUCUCAGUACCUAGAGGAAAAGAAAACAAUAGUGAUUCCGGCAGUAGCGGCGAGCGAAAUCGGAACAGCCCAAACCAUUAACGUGUAAGCGGCAGGCGUUGCGUUAGUGGUGUCGUGGGACCUACCGUUGGAACUGCCUUCCAACAUAGAGUUACAAAAUGAUGUGUUAGUCGAACAGUCUGGAAAGUCUGGCGAAACAGGGUGAUAGCCCCGUAAGCGAAAACAUAUUGUCUCUAGUAGAGUUCCCAAGUACAGCGGGACACGAGAAAUCUUGCUGGAAUUCACCGCGACCAUGCGGUAAGGCUAAAUAAGACCAUCAGACCGAUAGUGAACCAGUACCGUGAGGGAAAGGCGAAAAGAACCCCGAUGAGGGGAGUGAAAUAGAACCUGAAACCGUUAAUCUACAAGCAGUGGAAGCUCUAUGGUUUACCAGAGCAACCGCGUGCCUUUUGCAUAAUGAGCCGGCUAGUUAUUUUCAGUGGCAAGGCGAAGUCGAUAAGACGAAGCCGCAGGGAAACCGAGUCUGAAUAGGGCGCCAGUCGCUGGAAAUAGACGCGAAACGGGAUGAUCUAUCCUUGACCAGGAUGAAGUUCGGGUAACACCGAAUGGAGGUCCGAACCAGUGUGGGUUGAAAACCGCUUGGAUGAGUUGAGGAUAGGGGUGAAAGGCCAAUCAAAUUCCGUGAUAGCUCGUUCUCCCCGAAAUAGCUUUAGGGCUAGCGUCGGAUGAUUCGUCGUGGAGGUAGAGAACUGAAUGGACUAGGGGGCUUACCAGCUUACUGAAUCCAACCAAUCUUCGAAUACCACGCCGACCAGUCCGGCAGUCAGACUGCGGGUGAUAAGAUCCGUAGUCGAGAGGGAAAGAACCCAGAUCGCCAGCUAAGGUCCCAAAAUCGAUACUAAGUGGAAAAGGUUGUGAAUGUGCUUUGACAGCCAGGAGGUUAGCUUAGAAGCAGCUAUCCUUUAAAGAAAGCGUAAUAGCUCACUGGUCAAGCGGGUUCGCGCCGACAAUUCAACGGGGCUAAGUAUCGUACCGAAGCUGCGAACGAAAGUGGUAGGGGAGCAUUCCCUAAGUCUGUGAAGGUUAACCGCGAGGAUAGCUGGAGACAUGGGAAGAGACUCUGUCGGCAUAAGUAGCGUAAAGACGGGCGAGAACCCCGUCCACCGUAAGACUAAGGUUUCCAACGCAAGGUCAAUCCGCGUUGGGUUAGUCGGACCCUAAGCCGAGGCCGAAAGGCGUAGGCGAUGGAAGGCUGGUUAAUAUUCCAGCACUAUGAAUAGUUCGUUACCAGCAAUGCGGGGACACAGAAAGGUAGUCAUGUACGGCUAUGGAAUGUCGUGCGCAAGGCUUCAAGGACGUGACCUAGGUAAGUCCGGGUCACACAAGUCUAAGUUGUCUAACGAAAAAUGAUGAUCCUACGCUGUCGAGAAAAGCCGCUAGCGAGAAUUAUUUGUAUCCGUACCGCAAACCGACACAGGUAGUCGAGGAGAAAAUCCUAAGGUGUUUGAGUGAUGUCUGUUGAAGGAACUCGGCAAAUUAACCCCGUAACUUCGGGAGAAGGGGUACCACGGUAGGGUUCAUAGCCCGAGGUGGUGACACAAAAUUGUCCCAGGCGACUGUUUAACAAAAACACAGGUCUCUGCAAACUCCUAAGAGGAGGUAUAGGGGCUGACGCCUGCCCGGUGCCGGAAGGUCAAGAGGAGCGGUUAGCCGCAAGGCAAAGCUGCAAAUUUAAGCCCCGGUGAACGGCGGCCGUAACUAUAACGGUCCUAAGGUAGCGAAAUUCCUUGUCGGGUAAGUUCCGACCUGC
Molecule: ribosomal RNA, 2009 nt
Filed under: wastewater metagenome
Description: bacterial LSU rRNA
Rfam family: Bacterial large subunit ribosomal RNA
Source: RNAcentral